RNAcentral lists this ribosomal RNA (405 nucleotides) under uncultured bacterium. Its description in RNAcentral is "bacterial SSU rRNA". It matches the Rfam family "Bacterial small subunit ribosomal RNA", at positions 370 to 772 of the family's 1533-position model. The record is from RNAcentral.
AAUGGGCGAAAGCCUGACCCAGCCACGCCGCGUGAGUGAUGAAGGCCUUCGGGUCGUAAAGCUCUGUGGGGAGGGACGAAAAAGACGACUAAUCACCGGACUUGACGGUACCUCCUUAGCAAGCACCGGCUAACCAUGUGCCAGCAGCCGCGGUAAUACAUGGGGUGCAAACGUUGCUCGGAAUUAUUGGGCGUAAAGCGCGCGUAGGUGGUUGUUUAAGUCAGAUGUGAAAUCCCUUGGCUCAACUGAGGAAGUGCAUCUGAAACUGAAUAGCUAGAGUGCGAAAGAGGGUCGCGGAAUUCCCGGUGUAGAGGUGAAAUUCGUAGAUAUCGGGAGGAACACCGGUGGCGAAGGCGGCGACCUGGUUCGAUACUGACACUGAGGCGCGAAAGCGUGGGGAGCAAA